Non-coding RNA from Diaporthe sp. PMI_573, 99 nucleotides. The record is from the annotation of a GenBank genome assembly. NCBI's taxonomy places the organism in Eukaryota, Fungi, Ascomycota, Sordariomycetes, Diaporthales, Diaporthaceae.
AGUCCCUUUAGCUCAGUGGUGAGCGCCCGCCUCAAAUCACCAUCUUGUAACUUGUACAGACUUGGCGGGAGGCCGUUGGUUCAAACCCAACAGGGACUG